GAAUAUUGGACAAUGGGCGCAAGCCUGAUCCAGCCAUGCCGCGUGUGUGAAGAAGGCCUUCGGGUUGUAAAGCACUUUCAGCGAGGAGGAAGGGUGCUGUGUUAAUAGCACAGCAUUUUGACGUUACUCGCAGAAGAAGCACCGGCUAAUUCCGUGCCAGCAGCAGCGGUAAUACGGAAGGUGCGAGCGUUAAUCGGAAUUACUGGGCGUAAAGCGCACGUAGGUGGCUACUUAAGUCGGAUGUGAAAGCCCUGGGCUUAACCUGGGAAUUGCAUCCGAUACUGGGUGGCUAGAGUACGGUAGAGGGAGGUGGAAUUCCAGGUGUAGCGGUGAAAUGCGUAGAGAUCUGGAGGAACACCGGUGGCGAAGGCGGCCUCCAGGACUGAUACUGACACUGAGGUGCGAAAGCGUGGGGAGCAAACAGGA
This 426-nucleotide ribosomal RNA is filed under the name uncultured bacterium. RNAcentral's name for it is "bacterial SSU rRNA". It matches the Rfam family "Bacterial small subunit ribosomal RNA", at positions 359 to 777 of the family's 1533-position model. The record is from RNAcentral.